Molecule: transfer RNA, 77 nt
Filed under: Flavobacteriales bacterium
Lineage: Bacteria; Pseudomonadati; Bacteroidota; Flavobacteriia; Flavobacteriales
Description: tRNA-Ala
Rfam family: tRNA
About the family: Transfer RNA (tRNA) molecules are approximately 80 nucleotides in length.
Source: RNAcentral
GGGGAUGUAGCUCAGUUGGCUAGAGCGCUUACCUGGCAGUCAAGAGGUUGUGGGUUCGAACACCAUCUUCUCCACCA